RNAcentral lists this ribosomal RNA (420 nucleotides) under uncultured bacterium. RNAcentral describes it as "bacterial SSU rRNA". It matches the Rfam family "Bacterial small subunit ribosomal RNA", at positions 358 to 770 of the family's 1533-position model. The record is from RNAcentral.
GGAAUAUUGGACAAUGGGGGCAACCCUGAUCCAGCCAUGCCGCGUGUGUGAAGAAGGCCUUCGGGUUGUAAAGCACUUUCAGACGUGAGGAAGGGUUGUGUGUUAAUAGCGCACAACAUUGACGUUAGCGUCAGAAGAAGCACCGGCUACCUCCGUGCCAGCAGCCGCGGUAAUACGGAGGGUGCGAGCGUUAAUCGGAAUUACUGGGCGUAAAGCGCACGCAGGCGGUUUGUUAAGCUAGAUGUGAAAGCCCCGGGCUCAACCUGGGAGGGUCAUUUAGAACUGGCAGACUAGAGUCUUGGAGAGGGGGGUGGAAUUCCAGGUGUAGCGGUGAAAUGCGUAGAGAUCUGGAGGAACAUCAGUGGCGAAGGCGGCCCCCUGGCCAAAGACUGACGCUCAUGUGCGAAAGUGUGGGUAGCG